This is a long non-coding RNA of Lagopus leucura (white-tailed ptarmigan), 1665 nucleotides long. RefSeq lists it as uncharacterized. NCBI's taxonomy places the organism in Eukaryota, Metazoa, Chordata, Aves, Galliformes, Phasianidae. The record is from RefSeq and is a predicted model, not a curated record. The transcript has 4 exons.
UGUGCUUUGCUGGAGUUUCAUAAGUGAGCUCAGGGUACGGGAAAAGCACUAGAGCAACUUGACUUUGACAGCUGGACUAAAAUAUUGGUCUGCCUGACAUAGUCAUCGAAAUAUGCUACCCUGUCUCUACCAGCCUGACAACAGAAACAGUGUGUUCAUGCUGGACUCUUCAGCAGUCCUGUAUACACCUUCUGUGACUCAGCCAAAGAUGAAGUUCAUGUACAAGAAGAACAUCUCAGGUACUAUUUGCUUCCAAGCUUCCAGUCAUAGCCAAUGGAAUUAUGUUGUUAUUAAGUCCCAGCCUGACCUUCCAGGAUCUCUUCAUUUUAUCUGAUCACUGAAGACAUCUGAACAUAUUUGGACUGCAACUGAUGAAAAGUAAGAGACUGUCAGGUUGGCAUUUAUGCAGAAAGAAAGAUGGUUUUUUUUUUUUUUUUGCCUUAAUCAAGUAUUUCAGCUCUCAGAACAGAUUGUGAGACUUUCUCCAACCAAUGUAGAAGCAUAGACAAAGUAUUUGUACUGUGAUUACUCUAGUGAUUUUAUCUGAAUUUCUUUAUAGCUAUAUCCUUUCUACCAUUUCAUACUUACUGGGAUUUCUUUCUUGUUUGCUGAGCUGACAAUCAUUUAUCAGCAUGUAUGCUUCUUCCCUGAAAGAAUUUUUAAAAAAUGGUUUCAUUGUAGUCAGCAAAUGGCACUGUACUAGACUUAAUACACUUGUCUGAAGUGAAACUUCUAUUGUUGUGGACAGACAGUCUGAUGUUUUGGCUCGACAAAUGAUGAGCUAAAUCAUUCAGGCAUAACAAGUUUAUAUAUAGAAAACUUGAAGUAGGAAUAAAAAUUAGUUGAUGCAGAAAAUUUGAGAUAGAAUUGAAGCAAGAGAACUGGUCUUCAAGGACUUCAGAGAAGAUAUUUCCAUGACAACAGAAUACUUAGGUAUGCAAAUAAAGAAACAAAGCAUCUUAAAUUCAGUAAAUACACCUCUAUUUCCUAGAAUAAAAUCUGAACAAUCAAGGAGUACCACUUAUGUAGAAAAGGGUAUGGUGAGCUGAGAAGAUAGUAGUAUUUCAAUUUCAGGCCAAAUUAUCUUCUCACUUAAAUCAGCACUAUUUUUUAAAUUGUAGAACCACAGAGGUACAUAUAGACAGAUGAAAUCAUUCCUCUCUUGGUCUGUAAUAAUGCUGUGCUGUGACAGGAUCAAAAGCUCUAGACUUUCUUCAGUAGGUUAUCUAUACAACAGCUAAAACAAGCUUUUUAAUGAUAGAGAUUCCACCACCUUCCUUCAAGCUCAUCCAACUUGGCUACCUUAGAAGUUAAAAAAUUUCCCUCAAAUACUAACACCUAUUUUUGUUGCAAGCUAAGUCAUUUUCUCUUGUGAUGACCCUCUACCACUGGCCACAGAGAACAGUUUCCUCAUAACAAUCAUCUAAAUAUGAAAAAUUAUUAUGUUAUGUUCUGUAAGUUUUCAGAAUAUUAUAUAAAGGGAUUAACAUUUAUGACAGAGGCUCAUGUUAUUAUGGAUUGUAAUGUAAUCUCUGCAAUAAAUAUUGUAGACCUUCUUCCAUGAACCAUGCUGUAUUAUAAAUUUGGUAUUAUGCUCAAGGGCUUUUCUUGUUAAGGAAAGGAAAACAUAUAUGAUUUAUGAUCAUACAGCUCUCUGCUAUCAUA